GCGGCAGCGGCGGGGCAGCGAGGGGAGCGCGGGCCGGGCCCGCCGGGACUGCGGGCAGGGACGGGAGGAAGGGUCGGUGUCGUAGUGCGGCGAUUGAAGGCCGAAAGCCGGGACGAAGGAAACUUCUCUGGGCAUCAGGUGAUGUUCCAAAGUCGACUCAUGAGUAAUCUCUGAGUAGCUUUAAGCGGAAUGAGGCUGCUGGACCAGCCUUAUCGGAGUCCAGAGUCCUGCGGGAGGGCAGGGGGCCGAGGAGCCGCCGGAGCCUUUGCACAGCUUCCGCUGCGUGGGAAGGAUGUAACGGGGCUGGUGCUUCCUUUAGAGAGCCUUUGUGGAGCUGAGAGUUUGCUUUACCGAGAUCUAAAGCUAAAAUAAUGGGGCGACAGUAGAAGAUAGUAGAAACACACUGAAGAGUGUUGUUUUAAAUCAUUUGUUGGAAAUGGCUACUACAAAGUAUUAUUAAAAGGGUGGCAUCAGAUUUCGUGUUACUUUGUGUAAUAAAUAAAGCUUUAUCUCCUUGCUUCACAGAAUAUCUUUGAGGCAGAAUAUCUUUUUGCACAGAAUUCAGAACCCAGUCCUCCAGUUAGGCUAUCCUAAAAUAUUACUUUUGUAACUGAAACAGCACUGUAAAGUUAGGGGAAAACAAUAAACAGUUUUUUUUCUUAAUACACGAAGAGAAAAUGUAUCGAAAUGUUUUUUCAGAUGGGAAGUAAAGAAUUUCAGACAGUAAGGGUGGAUGCGGCCGAGCACGGUACGUUUCGUUCGGCAGCGCCGGUCAGUGCGGAGAGCGGUCCCGCUGGGAAAGUCCCGGUGCAGCCGGGCCGAAGGCGGUCCCGGCAGUCCCGUGGCCUGGCACAGCUCAGCAGGCUCUCAGCUUUUCUGUUGUCCUCUCGGAGUUCCGGAGCUCCCGCCCGGGUGUGGAGGAUCCCGAGCUUGUCCUGCCGGGCCGCCCGCGGAGAAGGCUGGGUGGGAGCAGGGGUGGCGUGUCUGGGACCAAACAGUCACUGCCGGGGAAGGGACGGAGCUUUAACAGCGCUCACUGAGUGCCUCCCCCUGAGCCCAAGACCGCAGCUUUUGCUGGCACUUGAGCACAGCACUGGGAUGCGUUCGGUGCAUUUUUCAAACAGGAGUUCUGUAACCAAAUAGAGAAAUUUGACCAGAGGGCUUUGAGCACUGACCAGCACAUUCCGAGCCUAACGAUUCAUGUUUAUGGUUUAAAACCGAGGCUGCAGCUUUGAUUCAGCUGCAUAUUGGUCUUUCUUGCCACUGCCUUGCUGGGUCGUUUUUUAAAACUCGAGAGAAGGACUUGAGGAGUUCACUAUUGGACAAGUAAUUAAAAGAGGUCACUGGAUUUGAUGCUUAUUUGAGCUGACAGAGUAGAAGGGUGUUGCAUGACUGGCAGAUUAGCAGUCCUCUAUGAGAUAAUAAUUCUCUGUGGGUUCAUACCUGCUGCUAACUGCUGCCUUAUUUGCCCAGCGUGGAUUCUGAGCGAGUUCAGACAGGUGAGGGGGUUUGGUAAUGGUGUGCAACCUACAAAACAAAAAUUUUAAAGAUCUUUGUCUAAGCUGAUGAUGAGAGGCUGUGGGCACUGCCUGCAUCCCAAGAGGUCCAGCAGUUGAGAUGCCAUUAUAUGAGUUCCUCUGUCAUGAGCUGUUUGAUGAGCAGUUCUUGUUCCUUUCCCCAUGAAAAGCAGGUAAAUUCAGGGUGGAUUUUUCAUUUCAGCCUUCUUACACUGUAAGAACAUUACUUCUGGGGCAGCCACAGCAGGGAGGGCAGCUGGCCAGGCAUGUCAGCAUCUCAGCAGGACUCAGGUAUUGGCAUCCUGGUGAAUGUAAUGAGGGGAAUAGAACAGACCUCUAGAGAAAGUUCUUAUUGCCUGCAUGCAGGUUUUUUAAGAAGUGAAGAAAAAGAGCUUGUAGCAACCAUAAUUUUCCCUUCCUGGAGAGGAACCUCUCUUGCCGCACAUUUUUUGUUUUGGACUGAAGGGUGGUACUACCCAGGGCAUCAGGCUGUAGAACAUUUCAGUGUCUGGGAUUUUUUAGGGAGCAGCUCAGCUGUUCAGCUGGGUACAUGCUUCCAUAGAAUCAUGGUUGCUCAGUCAGAGAACAUCGUUAUUCCUUUCAAGUGUUUUGAGGGAUAAAAUUAAAUUUUACUGGAAGAGCUAGUGGGUUACCUCCCUUAUCCUGAGGGAAGAGCACUGAAGCAGAUGUGGUAAGUCUGUGUUUGCUCUGUCUCUCUGCAGGGGUGAAGGUUACACAGGAGGAGGUGGGAAGGGGAGCAGAGUUCCACCCUGGCUGCAGGAGCUGCCGGGCUGGGAGCUGUGCUGCUCCUGCCCAGCUCCACCAGUGCCAAACCAACUCUCCCCACAGUUCUGUGAACACACGUGUUGAGUGUGAAAAACAAUUUUGUCUUGGUCUGAUGGAGUUUCUUUUGAAACCAUGUUGUCAAUUCAGCUUGUUGCUGUUUAAAAUUAAGUAUUUACUGGUGGUAAUUUCUAAUGCUCCUGGUGAAUUGAGAAGUAGCUCCCCUGUGCUCCUUGUUGCAUUUCUUUGAAUUUUGAUAGGAUUUUGACUAACUGCUUUCAGCAUCUUCCUAUACAGAUGGCAUCAUUUUUGUUGUGUAGGAGUUUCCUGUGCCAGCCAGAGAAAGACUAAAUGAUAUUUUAAAUAGGGAAACAAAAAGAGUUGGCACAAGGCUCACGGAGGAAGGAGUAUGUUUUGAGUGUUUUCACUGAUCUUAAAUUUGCCUUUUUCCAAUUAGCUGGGGUUUUUUUAAAUAUGCAGUUGUUAAAAUUCAGCUUAAACAACAUGCAUGCAGGUCUUAGAACUUCCUGACACACAGAAUACCAUAUAGAAGCUUUCUUCUUGAGAAAAAUACUCUAAUGCAGGCUCUCCAGAGAUGUUUCUAGGGAGUAUCUGUAAUAUUUGGAGUUGAAGGCCCAUCAAAAUACACAAUUACUGCGUGAAUAUUCUCCUUUUGUGGCCUGACUGUGCUGCCAUUAGCUAGUUAAUUCUGGCUUUCCCUGCUGGUCCUCCCACUCCUCCUGCCUUAUCCCCAUUACAGUACAAGCCUUUCCCACAAUCAGAACAACAGUUCUCUUUUUGAUCUACUCUGUUAGCCACACAGUUUUCAUGGUGCUUAGGCAGCUUUGGAAACAAGGAGGGGGUUUUUGUUUGUUUUCAAGCCAGAUUUAGCAGAAAGCAGAAGUGAAAUGGAGCCACUAGAGAGUCAGCCCUGAAGACAGUCAGUAUUUGGUUUAAUCUUGAGGUGAGAUGUAGCUGUCUGACUUCCACUUUUUGAACCAGGACUCCCUUGACACUCCAAACCCAGUCACAGGAGAUUGAGAAAAUCUAUGUUUGAGGUGUGUUCUAUAGGGUUAGACGGAAUUUUCUCUGUAUAUUUAGAAUGAUUAGAUAGAAACACUGCAGCCUUUGGUCCUUAAAAAUCAAACCAGCUUCCUUUAGUCCUGUUUUGUAUUUUAGUUCCACUGGACAUAAAAACUGUGAUAGUACUGAAGGUCACAUAAUAGACACAUAACACUUCUUUUAUACCCAGUUCUCAAGCUGGCCCUAAAACUGGCUUAUUUUGUAUGUAUCCUGUUAUUUGUAGAAGAAUGUCCAUUACCUGUUCCUUUCAGUGAGUGUUUUGAGAUGGAAGGAGACCUCUGCAGAGGUAUGUUUAUGUCUGGGAAGGGUUGUAAAAUAGGACAUUCCUUUCCGUUCUGUUUUGUUCUGUACAAGCUGGACACUAAGAGCAGGAAAGGAUUUUUGGUGCCCAACAGUCCAGGACUCCAGCAGCAGCUGCUGCAGUGCAGAAUUGAAGCUGGGAGUUAUCUCCUCCUCCUCCUCCUCCUCUCCGCCCCGCUCCUCCUCCCAGCCUGGCAGUCAGGCUGGGAUGAGCUGUGCAAGGCCAGCUGGCUGCUCCUCUCACUAGAGCAUCGCUGCCCCGCAGCCUGGGACACACUGCAGGGUGUUUUUGGGGCGUUGGGUUUCAAUGGCCACCCGGACUAGCAAGAAGCAAGGACUGCUCAUAUGGACAGCUCAUUUUUAUCGUGUGCAGAGUCGGCUUUGUAGUGGGAUGUUGAAAUAUGACACAAUGCCUGUUUGUU
Long non-coding RNA from Prinia subflava (tawny-flanked prinia), 4105 nucleotides. RefSeq lists it as uncharacterized. Lineage: Eukaryota; Metazoa; Chordata; Aves; Passeriformes; Cisticolidae. The transcript has 3 exons. The record is from RefSeq and is a predicted model, not a curated record.